Molecule: ribosomal RNA, 253 nt
Filed under: uncultured bacterium
Lineage: Bacteria
Description: partial 16S ribosomal RNA
Rfam family: Bacterial small subunit ribosomal RNA
Source: RNAcentral
UACGGAGGGUGCAAGCGUUAUCCGGAAUCACUGGGUUUAAAGGGUGCGUAGGCGGCUAAAUAAGUCAGAGGUGAAAGUUUGUCGCUUAACGAUAGAACUGCCUUUGAUACUGUUAAGCUUGAAAGUAGGUGAGGUUGGCGGAAUGUGACAUGUAGCGGUGAAAUGCAUAGAUAUGUCAUAGAACACCGAUUGCGAAGGCAGUCGGCUAACCUGACUUUGACGCUGGGGCACGAAAGCGUGGGUAGCGAACAGG